This 1510-nucleotide ribosomal RNA is filed under the name uncultured bacterium. RNAcentral describes it as "16S ribosomal RNA". It matches the Rfam family "Bacterial small subunit ribosomal RNA". The record is from RNAcentral.
UUAGAGUUUGAUCCUGGCUCAGGACGAACGCUGGCGGCGUGCCUAAUACAUGCAAGUCGAGCGAGCGGAACUAACAGAUUUACUUCGGUAAUGACGUUAGGAAAGCGAGCGGCGGAUGGGUGAGUAACACGUGGGGAACCUGCCCCAUAGUCUGGGAUACCACUUGGAAACAGGUGCUAAUACCGGAUAAGAAAGCAGAUCGCAUGAUCAGCUUUUAAAAGGCGGCGUAAGCUGUCGCUAUGGGAUGGCCCCGCGGUGCAUUAGCUAGUUGGUAAGGUAAAGGCUUACCAAGGCGAUGAUGCAUAGCCGAGUUGAGAGACUGAUCGGCCACAUUGGGACUGAGACACGGCCCAAACUCCUACGGGAGGCAGCAGUAGGGAAUCUUCCACAAUGGACGCAAGUCUGAUGGAGCAACGCCGCGUGAGUGAAGAAGGUUUUCGGAUCGUAAAGCUCUGUUGUUGGUGAAGAAGGAUAGAGGUAGUAACUGGCCUUUAUUUGACGGUAAUCAACCAGAAGGUCACGGCUAACUACGUGCCAGCAGCCGCGGUAAUACGUAGGUGGCAAGCGUUGUCCGGAUUUAUUUGGCGUAAAGCGAGCGCAGGCGGAAGAAUAAGUCUGAUGUGAAAGCCCUCGGCUUAACCGAGGAACUGCAUCGGAAACUGUUUUUCUUGAGUGCAGAAGAGGAGAGUGGAACUCCAUGUGUAGCGGUGGAAUGCGUAGAUAUAUGGAAGAACACCAGUGGCGAAGGCGGCUCUCUGGUCUGCAACUGACGCUGAGGCUCGAAAGCAUGGGUAGCGAACAGGAUUAGAUACCCUGGUAGUCCAUGCCGUAAACGAUGAGUGCUAAGUGUUGGGAGGUUUCCGCCUCUCAGUGCUGCAGCUAACGCAUUAAGCACUCCGCCUGGGGAGUACGACCGCAAGGUUGAAACUCAAAGGAAUUGACGGGGGCCCGCACAAGCGGUGGAGCAUGUGGUUUAAUUCGAAGCAACGCGAAGAACCUUACCAGGUCUUGACAUCUAGUGCCAUUUGUAGAGAUACAAAGUUCCCUUCGGGGACGCUAAGACAGGUGGUGCAUGGCUGUCGUCAGCUCGUGUCGUGAGAUGUUGGGUUAAGACCCGCAACGAGCGCAACCCUUGUUAUUAGUUGCCAGCAUUAAGUUGGGCACUCUAAUGAGACUGCCGGUGACAAACCGGAGGAAGGUGGGGAUGACGUCAAGUCAUCAUGCCCCUUAUGACUUGGGCUACACACGUGCUACAAUGGGCAGUACAACGAGAAGCGAGCCUGCGAAGGCAAGCGAAUCUCUGAAAGCUGUUCUCAGUUCGGACUGCAGUCUGCAACUCGACUGCACGAAGCUGGAAUCGCUAGUAAUCGCGGAUCAGCACGCCGCGGUGAAUACGUUCCCGGGCCUUGUACACACCGCCCGUCACACCAUAGGAGUCUGCAAUGCCCAAAGCCGGUGGCCUAACCUUCGGGAAGGAGCCGUCUAAGGCAGGGCAGAUGACUGGGGUGAA